Molecule: transfer RNA, 74 nt
Filed under: Escherichia coli
Lineage: Bacteria; Pseudomonadati; Pseudomonadota; Gammaproteobacteria; Enterobacterales; Enterobacteriaceae
Description: tRNA-Val
Rfam family: tRNA
About the family: Transfer RNA (tRNA) molecules are approximately 80 nucleotides in length.
Source: RNAcentral
GUCGUUAGCUCAGUUGGUAGAGCACCUCCCUUACAAGGAGGGGGUCGGCGGUUCGAUCCCGUCAUCACCCACCA